RNAcentral lists this ribosomal RNA (1292 nucleotides) under Escherichia coli. RNAcentral's name for it is "partial 23S ribosomal RNA". It matches the Rfam family "Bacterial large subunit ribosomal RNA", at positions 612 to 1890 of the family's 2925-position model. The record is from RNAcentral. Lineage: Bacteria; Pseudomonadati; Pseudomonadota; Gammaproteobacteria; Enterobacterales; Enterobacteriaceae.
AUAAUGGGUCAGCGACUUAUAUUCUGUAGCAAGGUUAACCGAAUAGGGGAGCCGAAGGGAAACCGAGUCUUAACUGGGCGUUAAGUUGCAGGGUAUAGACCCGAAACCCGGUGAUCUAGCCAUGGGCAGGUUGAAGGUUGGGUAACACUAACUGGAGGACCGAACCGACUAAUGUUGAAAAAUUAGCGGAUGACUUGUGGCUGGGGGUGAAAGGCCAAUCAAACCGGGAGAUAGCUGGUUCUCCCCGAAAGCUAUUUAGGUAGCGCCUCGUGAAUUCAUCUCCGGGGGUAGAGCACUGUUUCGGCAAGGGGGUCAUCCCGACUUACCAACCCGAUGCAAACUGCGAAUACCGGAGAAUGUUAUCACGGGAGACACACGGCGGGUGCUAACGUCCGUCGUGAAGAGGGAAACAACCCAGACCGCCAGCUAAGGUCCCAAAGUCAUGGUUAAGUGGGAAACGAUGUGGGAAGGCCCAGACAGCCAGGAUGUUGGCUUAGAAGCAGCCAUCAUUUAAAGAAAGCGUAAUAGCUCACUGGUCGAGUCGGCCUGCGCGGAAGAUGUAACGGGGCUAAACCAUGCACCGAAGCUGCGGCAGCGACACUGUGUGUUGUUGGGUAGGGGAGCGUUCUGUAAGCCUGCGAAGGUGUGCUGUGAGGCAUGCUGGAGGUAUCAGAAGUGCGAAUGCUGACAUAAGUAACGAUAAAGCGGGUGAAAAGCCCGCUCGCCGGAAGACCAAGGGUUCCUGUCCAACGUUAAUCGGGGCAGGGUGAGUCGACCCCUAAGGCGAGGCCGAAAGGCGUAGUCGAUGGGAAACAGGUUAAUAUUCCUGUACUUGGUGUUACUGCGAAGGGGGGACGGAGAAGGCUAUGUUGGCCGGGCGACGGUUGUCCCGGUUUAAGCGUGUAGGCUGGUUUUCCAGGCAAAUCCGGAAAAUCAAGGCUGAGGCGUGAUGACGAGGCACUACGGUGCUGAAGCAACAAAUGCCCUGCUUCCAGGAAAAGCCUCUAAGCAUCAGGUAACAUCAAAUCGUACCCCAAACCGACACAGGUGGUCAGGUAGAGAAUACCAAGGCGCUUGAGAGAACUCGGGUGAAGGAACUAGGCAAAAUGGUGCCGUAACUUCGGGAGAAGGCACGCUGAUAUGUAGGUGAAGUCCCUCGCGGAUGGAGCUGAAAUCAGUCGAAGAUACCAGCUGGCUGCAACUGUUUAUUAAAAACACAGCACUGUGCAAACACGAAAGUGGACGUAUACGGUGUGACGCCUGCCCGGUGCCGGAAGGUUAAUUGAUGGGGU